GGAACAACGAAAAGGUCAUCGCAGACAAAAUGGCGAGCACGUUUGCGUACAGACGAUAUGAGGUGGUAAACCAAGAACUAAGCAUUCAAGACUUGAAGGAAAGAUGGCCUGCUCUCUUCACACAGAAAGAGAUUAAUACAGAGUUCCAGAGGAUCACGGCUGUUCCUCUUGAGGAGAAGUUCAUGGCACAGUUAGACAUGCACUCAAGUCAGCUGAUCAAAGUCAUCCGUGCCAAAGGAGGAGCAACACGCCAAAAGACUUCAGAUAUCAUGGACACUUUGGACCAGACUGUGGACAUUAAUCUUCGGAGGGAAUGUGUGCUGAAAGCCCUCACCAUCUUCAUGGGAGAAGAUGUAAAUGACCUCAUCAAGGAAUAUCUUGACUCUGGAACAGAUGAUACUCAGAGGGAGCUGGAGCAGCUCACCAUGGCAGUGUUUGUCAUUCGGAAGGAG
Molecule: long non-coding RNA, 452 nt
Organism: Amphiprion ocellaris (clown anemonefish)
Lineage: Eukaryota; Metazoa; Chordata; Actinopteri; Pomacentridae
Source: Ensembl